GUGUCAGCAGCCGCGGUAAUACAGAGGGUGCGAGCGUUAAUCGGAAUUACUGGGCGUAAAGCGCACGUAGGUGGCUAUGUAAGUCGGGUGUGAAAUCCCCGGGCUCAACCUGGGAACUGCAUUCGAGACUGCAUGGCUGGAGUACGGAAGAGGAGGGCGGAAUUCCCGGUGUAGCGGUGAAAUGCGUAGAUAUCGGGAGGAACAUCAGUGGCGAAGGCGGCCCUCUGGUCCAGUACUGACACUCAAGUGCGAAAGCGUGGGGAGCAAACAGGAUUAGAUACCCUUGUAGUCC
RNAcentral lists this ribosomal RNA (292 nucleotides) under uncultured bacterium. RNAcentral's name for it is "partial 16S ribosomal RNA". It matches the Rfam family "Bacterial small subunit ribosomal RNA", at positions 505 to 796 of the family's 1533-position model. The record is from RNAcentral.